CCUACGGGCGGCAGCAGUGAGGAAUAUUGGUCAAUGGCCGGAAGGCUGAACCAGCCAUGCCGCGUGAAGGUCAGUGCCCUAUGGGCGUUAAACUUCUUUUGUGCGGGAGCAAUAAUGGUCACGUGUGGCCAGACGAGAGUACCGUACGAAUAAGCAUCGGCUAACUCCGUGCCAGCAGCCGCGGUAAUACGGGGGAUGCAAGCGUUAUCCGGAUUUAUUGGGUUUAAAGGGUGCGUAGGCUGGGAGGUAAGUCAGCGGUGAAAUGCCCCCGCUCAACGGGGUGAAGUGCCAUUGAUACUGCCUGGCUGGAAUGCGGAUGCCGUGGGAGGAAUGUGUGGUGUAGCGGUGAAAUGCAUAGAUAUCACACAGAACACCGAUUGCGAAGGCAUCUCACGAAUCCGCGAUUGACGCUGAUGCACGAAAGCGUGGGUAUCAAACAGGAUUAGAUACCCUGGUAGUC
This 460-nucleotide ribosomal RNA is filed under the name uncultured bacterium. RNAcentral's name for it is "partial 16S ribosomal RNA". It matches the Rfam family "Bacterial small subunit ribosomal RNA", at positions 338 to 795 of the family's 1533-position model. The record is from RNAcentral.